AUUGAACGCUGGCGGCAUGCCUAACACAUGCAAGUCGAACGGCAGCACAGCCCGCAAGGGUGGGUGGCGAGUGGCGGACGGGUGAGGAGUACAUGGGAAUCUACCCUGUCGUGGGGGAUAACGUAGGGAAACUUACGCUAAUACCGCAUACGACCUCCGGGUGAAAGCGGCGGACCGCAAGGCGUCGCGCGACUGGAUGAGCCCAUGUCGGAUUAGCUAGUUGGCGAGGUAAAGGCCCACCAAGGCGACGAUCCGUAGCUGGUCUGAGAGGAUGAUCAGCCACACUGGAACUGAGACACGGUCCAGACUCCUACGGGAGGCAGCAGUGGGGAAUAUUGGACAAUGGGCGCAAGCCUGAUCCAGCAAUGCCGCGUGGGUGAAGAAGGCCUUCGGGUUGUAAAGCCCUUUUGUACGGGAAGAAAUCCAGUCGGUUAAUACCCGGCGGGGAUGACGGUACCGUAAGAAUAAGCUCCGGCUAACUUCGUGCCAGCCGCCGCCGUAA
Molecule: ribosomal RNA, 502 nt
Filed under: uncultured bacterium
Lineage: Bacteria
Description: partial 16S ribosomal RNA
Rfam family: Bacterial small subunit ribosomal RNA
Source: RNAcentral